This 87-nucleotide transfer RNA is filed under the name Pseudoxanthomonas yeongjuensis. Its description in RNAcentral is "tRNA-Leu". It matches the Rfam family "tRNA". From Rfam's summary of the family: Transfer RNA (tRNA) molecules are approximately 80 nucleotides in length. Their secondary structure includes four short double-helical elements and three loops (D, anti-codon, and T loops). Further hydrogen bonds mediate the characteristic L-shaped molecular structure. tRNAs have two regions of fundamental functional importance: the anti-codon, which is responsible for specific mRNA codon recognition, and the 3' end, to which the tRNAs corresponding amino acid is attached (by aminoacyl-tRNA synthetases). tRNAs cope with the degeneracy of the genetic code in two manners: having more than one tRNA (with a specific anti-codon) for a particular amino acid; and 'wobble' base-pairing, i.e. permitting non-standard base-pairing at the 3rd anti-codon position. RNAcentral also lists the same sequence under 1 other name. Lineage: Bacteria; Pseudomonadati; Pseudomonadota; Gammaproteobacteria; Lysobacterales; Lysobacteraceae. The record is from RNAcentral.
GCCCGGAUGGCGAAACUGGUAGACGCAAGGGACUUAAAAUCCCUCGGCCGCAAGGUCAUGUCGGUUCGAUCCCGACUCCGGGCACCA